AGAGUUUGAUUAUGGCUCAGGAUGAACGCUAGCUACAGGCUUAACACAUGCAAGUCGAGGGGCAGCAUUGGAGUAGCAAUACUUCAGAUGGCGACCGGCGCACGGGUGAGUAACACGUAUCCAACCUGCCGCCUACUCGGGGAUAGCCUUUCGAAAGAAAGAUUAAUACCCGAUGGUAUAAAGAGUUCGCAUGUUCUCUUUAUUAAAGAAUUUCGGUAAGCGAUGGGGAUGCGUUCCAUUAGAUAGUUGGCGGGGUAACGGCCCACCAAGUCUACGAUGGAUAGGGGUUCUGAGAGGAAGGUCCCCCACAUUGGAACUGAGACACGGUCCAAACUCCUACGGGAGGCAGCAGUGAGGAAUAUUGGUCAAUGGACGAGAGUCUGAACCAGCCAAAGUAGCGUGAAGGAUGACUGCCCUAUGGGUUGUAAACUUCUUUUAUAAGGGAAUAAAGUGAGGGACGUGUCCCUUUUUGUAUGUACCUUAUGAAUAAGGAUCGGCUAACUCCGUGCCAGCCGCGGC
RNAcentral lists this ribosomal RNA (519 nucleotides) under uncultured bacterium. RNAcentral's name for it is "bacterial SSU rRNA". It matches the Rfam family "Bacterial small subunit ribosomal RNA", at positions 8 to 518 of the family's 1533-position model. The record is from RNAcentral.